AUGUUCCUAUUCAGAUUCCUGCCAACAAAGCUCAAUAGGAGGAUGAAGGCAAAUGCCCAUGAGGUCGAAGCACUCCUCAAAGGCAUAAUCACCAAGAGGGAGAGGGCAAUGAAGGACGGCCAUGCCAACAACGACGAUCUACUAGGCGUGAUGAUGGAGGCCAACAUAAAUAUAAGCCAAGAAGCUGGAAGCUCCAAGCCAACGAUGACCACCGAGGACAUAGUAGGGGAGCUGAAGCUCUUCUAUUUUGCGGGCAUGGAGACAACCGCGGUGCUGCUCACAUGGGCAAUGGUCUUGAUAAGCCUUCAUCACGAGUGGCAGGACGCCAGGGAGGAGGUUCUGCAUGUCUUGGGAAAGAACCAACCGGAUUCUGAGGGCAUAAACAAGCUGAAAGUGGUGACAAUGAUACUGCAUGAGGUUCUUAGGUUGUACCCACCGAUUCCACUACAUGGUCAGGAGGCGUAUAAAGAGACGAAGCUGGGAGGCAUCACAUAUCCAGCUGGGGUAACAUUUGCGCUGCCAAUUGUGUGCAUUCACCAGGAUCCAGAUGUGUGGGGAGAAGAUGUCGAUGAAUUUAAGCCUGAGAGGUUUGCGGAGGGUAUCGCUGGCGCAUCGAAAAACUCGCCAACGUUAUUUCCGUUCGGCUGGGGACCACAGAUUUGCGUCUGGCAGAACUUUGCAUUGCUGGAGGCCAAGAUGGGAUUGAGUGUGAUCCUACAACACUUUAUCUUUGAGCUCUCACCAUCUUACACGCAUGCGCCUUACCCAGUCUCGAGUCUACAGCUCCAACACGGUUCACAGAUUAAGCUCAUGAAACUCUAA
This 822-nucleotide ribosomal RNA is filed under the name Triticum aestivum (bread wheat). RNAcentral describes it as "partial small subunit ribosomal RNA". The record is from RNAcentral. Lineage: Eukaryota; Viridiplantae; Streptophyta; Magnoliopsida; Poales; Poaceae.